AGUGAACGCUGGCGGUAGGCCUAACACAUGCAAGUCGAACGGCAGCACAGUAAGAGCUUGCUCUUACGGGUGGCGAGUGGCGGACGGGUGAGGAAUACAUCGGAAUCUACUUUUUCGUGGGGGAUAACGUAGGGAAACUUACGCUAAUACCGCAUACGACCUACGGGUGAAAGCAGGGGAUCUUCGGACCUUGCGCGAUUGAAUGAGCCGAUGUCGGAUUAGCUAGUUGGCGGGGUAAAGGCCCACCAAGGCGACGAUCCGUAGCUGGUCUGAGAGGAUGAUCAGCCACACUGGAACUGAGACACGGUCCAGACUCCUACGGGAGGCAGCAGUGGGGAAUAUUGGACAAUGGGCGCAAGCCUGAUCCAGCCAUACCGCGUGGGCGAAGAAGGCCUUCGGGUUGUAAAGCCCUUUUGUUGGGAAAGAAAGGCAGCAGGUUAAUACCCCGCUGUUCUGACGGUACCCAAAGAAUAAGCACCGGCUAACUUCGUG
This 492-nucleotide ribosomal RNA is filed under the name uncultured bacterium. Its description in RNAcentral is "partial 16S ribosomal RNA". It matches the Rfam family "Bacterial small subunit ribosomal RNA", at positions 29 to 507 of the family's 1533-position model. The record is from RNAcentral.